UUUUAUUUGCUAUGUUUGUGCUUAACUCUUGCUGCUUUUUUUUUAAUGCACCUUAAAUCUAAUGCAGUUUAAUUUAUUUCCUACAGGAUACGUUUGGAAAGGUGAUUAUUUGGGUGCAGCCGUAACAAUUUUGCUUCAACCUUGUGCAAUAGAUCUUCUAAACUGCAGCCCAUGUUGGAGGUUUGGAAAGUGCAAUACUCAAAUGUUUACUCAUCCCCACUGAGUGAGUUUGCCUUCAACCUUGAUUAAAUGCACCUGGUCCAGCUAAUCAAGUCCCUUUAAUCUCAGGCUUAAUUACAGGGUGUAUUUGCAGAUCUCUCCAUCUCCAACAUAACCAGCAUGGCAUGUGCAGUUCCGUUGCAGGGGUCCUGUCAUAGUACAAAUG
This is a non-coding RNA of Danio rerio (zebrafish), 385 nucleotides long. Lineage: Eukaryota; Metazoa; Chordata; Actinopteri; Cypriniformes; Danionidae. The record is from RefSeq and is a predicted model, not a curated record.